CUUGAUUCCUAUAAGACAUACCUUUUAGUCGAGUCUUCUCCCUUGAUUCCUAUAAGACAUACCUUUUAGUCGAGUCAUUCCCCUUGACCCCUAGAAGAUGUACCUUUUAGUCGAGUCAAUUCCUUUGAUCCCUAUCAGACGUACCUUAUAGUCGAGUUAUUCUUCUUGAUUCCUAUAAUGAUGUGACUUUCACAAAAGUCCUUUGAUGAUAAACUGGGGAAAAAUUUAAUUCUUGUUUUUGGAACUUUACUUUUUUGGCAAACGAAAUUUCUCUUUAUAAUAAUUUUUGUUUGGGAUAAUUUUCUUUCCAGUUUUGAUGUGAUUUCAAGAGCCUGUCCAAAGCAGGAGGAGAAAAAAUGGAAAAUUAAGCAACAAGGUGAAGAAAUUAAAAGUUAAAUAGAUUGAAAAAUAGCAAGUCAGGAGCCCACCUGCAGAACCGGGUGAAUAAAUUGAAAGCAUAGCAACAAGUUGAUUAAAUAGCAAGUCAGGAACCCACCUGGAGAACAGGGUGUAGAAAUUGAAAAGCAUAGCAACAAGUUGAUGAAAUAACAAGUCAGGAAUCUGCCUAGAGAAUAGGGUGUAGAAAUUGAAAUGCAAGCAACAACUUGAUGAAAUUUCAAGUCAGGAGCCUACCUGAAGAAUAGGGUGAUGAAAUGGUAAGUCAGGAGCCUGCCCGAAGUAUAGGGCGAAUAAAUGAAUGUUAAGCAAUAAGGUGAAGCAAUUGAUAAUCAGGUAACAAGUGAUGAAAUUGCAAGUCAGGAGCCCGCCUGAAGAAUAGGGUGAUGAAACUUAAUUCAGGAGUCCAAUAGAAGCUGUAUAGAUAGGAUUUUGUAAUUUCAUUUAUGUUGUAACUUCUAAUUUUCAUUUUAAUGUAAUGACAGAUCCAUGGACCGGAACCUCGAUGGAACCUCACUCGACUCUCUAACUCGGUAUAGUCCACCUCCUUCCAUUUUUUUAAGAUACAUGUCACUUGAUUCCCUCAUAACUUGGGUAGGUAGGAUGUCCUAAAUCAAGAUUUGGUCUCUCUCUUUCUUUUUAUUUCAUUCCUUUUUAAUAAUGGUCGGGUCAAAAUUCUAUCUCGUUGUCUACUUCUUUGUAUGAAAACACUUUGUGUUUACAUUCAAAGAGGAGCAUGAUGUAGACACGUAAUUUUAUCCCUCCUCAAAAACAUUUUUACCAUUUUACCUCCGUUUUACUGCGUGCCCUCACCCAUGUGAUUAUAUCCCACAAAAAUAUAAAAAUAACAACCCCUAACUAAUUUUAUCUUAUUUAACAAUCCCUUCCUAUUAAAUUUUAACACCUCACAUACCCCACCUCACCACCUACCCCACAUGCCCCCUUUCCUUUACAUUUUAAUUAUCAUUUAACAGAAUAAGGCACAAAAAAUUCUUCCAUAUUUGGAUAGACACUUUCAAGGUCCCAUAGAAUAAUUAAAAAAGAAAACAAUUCUCACUCACAGGGGGACUCAUAAUUCACAGAACCACACUCAUUUUCAUACUCACGCGCUAAACAUAGUACCCACUACAUCAUGAAUCGAUAUUCUCCAUUGAUGAAAAAAGCAUGUAACACGGUCCAUCUCUUCCUUUUCUUCUGAACACACUGCCAUAGAAGAAGAUCAUCAUCAUCCUCACAUACACAAACAGAAAUACAGAGAGACCCCAACUUUUCUUUUCUUCUCCACAUAGGAGAUACACAUAGAGCUACUAUAUACACCUGUUGAACGCACGCACAAUAGGGGAUACACAUACUGAGAGAUUCGCGCUCGAGAGAGAGAUUUGAAGUCGAGAUCUGAAAUAGAGAAGAAAACUGUGUUGAUUUCGGGUUACUCAGAAAUGGAUCUCAGUGGGUUCAGUCGUUUUUUUGGCGACUAUUUUGCUGGAAUCUCGUUGUUCUCUAUUGAUUUUUCGAUGAGUCCGAUAGGGAAAUGAGAAUAUCACCAGAAAUACUCCGUUUUCAAAAGUUUUCAAGCGACCCCGUUUAAAAAAUAUUCAAACUCUCUGGAAUCCGACCUACUUCUAUCUGUUUUGGGCACUAUUAGCUCACCGGAGUUCAAGUCGUGCGGGUGCUUAGUUUUCCAUCAGAUUUUUGUAGCUUGGGUUCGUCUAUUUUGGUGAUUCAAGAUUGAAACCGGAUUUUGAGUUUCAUCAGUCAUCGUUUUGGGUUUGAAUCUUGGUUUUCAUAUCGAGGUAUUUAUUUUUGGGUUUGAAAUUUGUCUGGCUAUUGAUCCUGGGUAUUCACUGUCGUUGGUGGAGUUCCAUUCGGUUUGGAUUUGAGUUGGUGGGUCGCGGUUGAAGUUCAAUUCGAGGUUCCCGGCCGGACUCUGUCUCGUUUAGUUGAAUAACACUACAUUGAAAUCAAUAAUUGAGGUGAAUGCCUCGAGCGAUUUGUAUUGAUUUAUCCGGGGAAUGCCCCAAAGUAUCUUGUAAUUGGUGGACGUUCGUGGUGAAGGCCUGAGGCAUUGGGUGAGGCAUCGGAGCUUAGUCUAGGAUUAGUUUAGAAUAGGAUUUACAUUUCCUUAUUUUUCUAUUUUGGAAUGUAUAAUUGGACUGGACAUUGUUUUUGGAUUUGUUUACUUGAUUGAUCGUUUUAUU
This is a long non-coding RNA of Capsicum annuum, 2591 nucleotides long. RefSeq lists it as uncharacterized. The record is from RefSeq and is a predicted model, not a curated record. The transcript has 2 exons. Lineage: Eukaryota; Viridiplantae; Streptophyta; Magnoliopsida; Solanales; Solanaceae.